This 344-nucleotide unclassified non-coding RNA is filed under the name soil metagenome. Its description in RNAcentral is "partial contains 5.8S ribosomal RNA, internal transcribed spacer 2, and large subunit ribosomal RNA". The stretch from base 1 to 119 matches the Rfam family "5.8S ribosomal RNA", at positions 35 to 154 of the family's 154-position model. The record is from RNAcentral.
GAUGAAGACGCAGCGAAAUGCGAUACGUAAUGUGAAUUGCAGAAUUCAGUGAAUCAUCGAGUCUUUGAACGCACAUUGCGCCCCCUGGUAUUCCGGGGGGCAUGCCUGUCCGAGCGUCAUUGCUGCCCUCAAGCACGGCUUGUGUGUUGGGCCUCCGUCCUCCUCCCGGGGGACGGGCCCGAAAGGCAGCGGCGGCACCGCGUCCGGUCCUCGAGCGUAUGGGGCUUCGUCACCCGCUCUUGUAGGCCCGGUCGGCGCUUGCCGACACAUCAAUCUUUUUUCCAGGUUGACCUCGGAUCAGGUAGGGAUACCCGCUGAACUUAAGCAUAUCAAUAAGCGGAGGA